This 207-nucleotide ribosomal RNA is filed under the name uncultured bacterium. RNAcentral describes it as "partial 16S ribosomal RNA". It matches the Rfam family "Bacterial small subunit ribosomal RNA", at positions 568 to 774 of the family's 1533-position model. The record is from RNAcentral.
CGUGUAGGCGGUCAAGUAAGUGGAAUGUGAAAUCCCUCGGCUUACCCGAGGACCUGCAUCCCAAACUGCUUGGCUUGAGUAUGGGAGAGGAUGAGGGAAUUCCUGGUGUAGCGGUGAAAUGCGUAGAUAUCAGGAGGAACACCGGUGGCGAAAGCGCUCAUCUGGCCCAAUACUGACGCUGAGGCGCGAAAGCUAGGGGAGCAAACG